RNAcentral lists this ribosomal RNA (224 nucleotides) under uncultured bacterium. RNAcentral's name for it is "partial 16S ribosomal RNA". It matches the Rfam family "Bacterial small subunit ribosomal RNA", at positions 328 to 538 of the family's 1533-position model. The record is from RNAcentral.
ACGCUCGACACCUACGGGAGGUAGCAGUAGGGAAUCUUCCACAAUGGACGCAAGUCUGAUGGAGCAACGCCGCGUGAGCGAAGAAGGUCUUCGGAUCGUAAAACUCUGUUGUUAGAGAAGAACACGAGUGAGAGUAACUGUUCAUUCGAUGACGGUAUCUAACCAGCAAGUCACGGCUAACUACGUGCCCGCAGCCGCGGUAAUCUGAGCGGGCGUGGCAAGGC